AUUUACCACUCGUACACUGCGGUUCCUGUGCGCCGUCCGCACCCGCCUGACGACUGCUCGCGACGUUUUGUUAGCC
This 76-nucleotide small RNA is filed under the name Xanthomonas campestris pv. veroniae. Its description in RNAcentral is "sX9 sRNA". It matches the Rfam family "Xanthomonas sRNA sX9". Lineage: Bacteria; Pseudomonadati; Pseudomonadota; Gammaproteobacteria; Lysobacterales; Lysobacteraceae. The record is from RNAcentral.